Molecule: ribosomal RNA, 293 nt
Filed under: uncultured bacterium
Lineage: Bacteria
Description: partial 16S ribosomal RNA
Rfam family: Archaeal small subunit ribosomal RNA
Source: RNAcentral
GUGGCCAGCCGCCGCGGUAAUACCGGCAGCCCGAGUGAUGGCCGAUCUUAUUGGGCCUAAAGCGUCCGUAGCUGGCCGAACAAGUCCGGCGGGAAAUCCACCCGCCCAACGGGUGGGCGUCCGGUAGAAACUGGCCGGCUUGGAACCGGAAGGCUCAGAGAGUACGUCCGGGGUAGGAGUGAAAUCCCGUAAUCCCGGACGGACUACCGAUGGCGAAAGCACUCUGAGAAGACGGCUUCGACAGUGAGGGACGAAAGCUCGGGUCUCAAACCGGAUUAGAAACCCCGUAGUCC